UACGGAGGGGGCUAGCGUUGUUCGGAAUUAUUGGGCGUAAAGAGCUCGUAGGCGGUCUGUCGCGUCGGUCGUGAAAACUUGGGGCUUAACCCUGAGCUUGCGGUCGAUACGGGCAUGACUGGAGUUCGGUAGGGGAGACUGGAAUUCCUGGUGUAGCGGUGAAAUGCGCAGAUAUCAGGAGGAACACCGGUGGCGACGGCGGGUCUCUGGGCCGAUACUGACGCUGAGGAGCGAAAGCGUGGGGAGCGAACAGG
This 254-nucleotide ribosomal RNA is filed under the name uncultured bacterium. RNAcentral describes it as "partial 16S ribosomal RNA". It matches the Rfam family "Bacterial small subunit ribosomal RNA", at positions 524 to 776 of the family's 1533-position model. The record is from RNAcentral.